This 527-nucleotide ribosomal RNA is filed under the name uncultured fungus. RNAcentral's name for it is "eukaryotic LSU rRNA". The stretch from base 186 to 339 matches the Rfam family "5.8S ribosomal RNA". The record is from RNAcentral. Lineage: Eukaryota; Fungi.
AAGUCGUAACAAGGUCUCCGUUGGUGAAUCAGCGGAGGGAUCAUUACUGAGUACUACACUCUCUACCCUUUGUGAACUAUUAUACCUGUUGCUUCGGCGGCGCCCGCAAGGGUGCCCGCCGGUCUCAUCAGAAUCUCUGUUUUCGAGCCCGACGAUACUUCUGAGUGUUCUUAGCGAACUGUCAAAACUUUUAACAACGGAUCUCUUGGCUCCAGUAUCGAUGAAGAACGCAGCGAAACGCGAUAUGUAAUGUGAAUUGCAGAAUUCAGUGAAUCAUCGAAUCUUUGAACGCACAUGGCGCCUUCCAGUAUCCUGGGAGGCAUGCCUGUCCGAGCGUCGUUUCAACCCUCAAGCACUGCUUGGUAUUGGGCCCCGCUGGUUUCAGCGGGCCUUAAAAUCAGUGGCAGCGCCGUCUGAGCUCUGAGCGUAGUAAAUAUCCUCGCUAUAGAGACCAGGUGGUUCUUGUCAUCAACCCCCAACUUUCUAAGUUUGACCUCGGAUCAGGUAGGGAUACCCGCUGAACUUAA